CCUACGGGCGGCAGCAGUGAGGAAUAUUGGUCAAUGGACGAGAGUCUGAACCAGCCAAGUAGCGUGAAGGAUGACUGCCCUAUGGGUUGUAAACUUCUUUUAUAUGGGAAUAAAAUGUUCCACGUGUGGGAUUUUGUAUGUACCAUAUGAAUAAGGAUCGGCUAACUCCGUGCCAGCAGCCGCGGUAAUACGGAGGAUCCGAGCGUUAUCCGGAUUUAUUGGGUUUAAAGGGAGCGUAGGUGGAUUGUUAAGUCAGUUGUGAAAGUUUGCGGCUCAACCGUAAAAUUGCAGUUGAAACUGGCAGUCUUGAGUACAGUAGAGGUGGGCGGAAUUCGUGGUGUAGCGGUGAAAUGCUUAGAUAUCACGAAGAACUCCGAUUGCGAAGGCAGUUCACUGGACUGCAACUGACACAGAGGCUCGAAAGUGUGGGUAUCAAACAGGAUUAGAUACCCCAGUAGUC
RNAcentral lists this ribosomal RNA (460 nucleotides) under uncultured bacterium. RNAcentral describes it as "partial 16S ribosomal RNA". It matches the Rfam family "Bacterial small subunit ribosomal RNA", at positions 338 to 795 of the family's 1533-position model. The record is from RNAcentral.